GAUGAAGAACGUAGCAAAAUGCGAUACUUGGUGUGAAUUGCAGAAUCCCGUGAACCAUCGAGUUUUUGAACGCAAGUUGCGCCCGAAGCAUUUUGGCCGAGGGCACGUCUGCCUGGGCGUCACGCAUCGCGUCGCCCCCCACAAUUCUCCGUAAAGGGAACGUGUGUUUUGGGGGCGGAUAUUGGUCUCCCGUGCUCAUGGCGUGGUUGGCCGAAAUAGGAGUCCUUUCGAUGGACGCACGAACUAGUGGUGGUCGUAAAAACCCUCGUCUUUUGUUUCGUGCUGUUGCUCGCAAGGUAAACUCUUUAAAAACCCCAAUGUGUCGUCUCUUGACGACGCUUCGACCGCGACCCCAGGUCAGGCGGGACUACCCGCUGAGUUUAAGCAUAUCAAUAAGCGGAGGA
RNAcentral lists this unclassified non-coding RNA (404 nucleotides) under soil metagenome. Its description in RNAcentral is "partial contains 5.8S ribosomal RNA, internal transcribed spacer 2, and large subunit ribosomal RNA". The stretch from base 1 to 122 matches the Rfam family "5.8S ribosomal RNA", at positions 35 to 154 of the family's 154-position model. The record is from RNAcentral.